RNAcentral lists this transfer RNA (87 nucleotides) under Bacteroidota bacterium. RNAcentral's name for it is "Bacteroidetes bacterium tRNA-Leu". It matches the Rfam family "tRNA". Rfam says of the family: Transfer RNA (tRNA) molecules are approximately 80 nucleotides in length. Their secondary structure includes four short double-helical elements and three loops (D, anti-codon, and T loops). Further hydrogen bonds mediate the characteristic L-shaped molecular structure. tRNAs have two regions of fundamental functional importance: the anti-codon, which is responsible for specific mRNA codon recognition, and the 3' end, to which the tRNAs corresponding amino acid is attached (by aminoacyl-tRNA synthetases). tRNAs cope with the degeneracy of the genetic code in two manners: having more than one tRNA (with a specific anti-codon) for a particular amino acid; and 'wobble' base-pairing, i.e. permitting non-standard base-pairing at the 3rd anti-codon position. The record is from RNAcentral. Lineage: Bacteria; Pseudomonadati; Bacteroidota.
GCCCGAGUGGCGGAAUUGGUAGACGCGCUGGUCUCAAAAACCAGUUCCUUCCAAGGAGUGCCGGUUCGACCCCGGCCUCGGGUACAA